GAAAAAGAGGGAAUUCUGGGAAAUAUCACAUGCAGCUGGGCCUUCGCCAAAACAGUUAACGCUGCUUACAGUCAUCCGCUGCUCACCUUUGCUGUUCCUCGGUGGCGGCAAGACGGAGUAGAAAUGAGGCGAUUCGUUGAGCAGAGAGUGACCCGACGAGACAUCGGGGAUGACUCGCAAGCCGGAGCCGGGAGGUCAGACGGGUGCGUGACGAGGCAGCAGGAGAUCUGACAAUGCAACGACGAC
Pseudoliparis swirei is the source of this 246-nucleotide long non-coding RNA. RefSeq lists it as uncharacterized. The transcript is spliced from 3 exons. The record is from RefSeq and is a predicted model, not a curated record. NCBI's taxonomy places the organism in Eukaryota, Metazoa, Chordata, Actinopteri, Perciformes, Liparidae.